This 71-nucleotide transfer RNA is filed under the name Bacteroides thetaiotaomicron. RNAcentral describes it as "tRNA-Lys". It matches the Rfam family "tRNA". Rfam says of the family: Transfer RNA (tRNA) molecules are approximately 80 nucleotides in length. Their secondary structure includes four short double-helical elements and three loops (D, anti-codon, and T loops). The record is from RNAcentral. Lineage: Bacteria; Pseudomonadati; Bacteroidota; Bacteroidia; Bacteroidales; Bacteroidaceae.
GCACUCUUAGCUCAGUUGGUAGAGCAACUGACUCUUAAUCAGUGUCCAGGGUUCGAAUCCCUGAGGGUGUA